Molecule: ribosomal RNA, 500 nt
Filed under: uncultured bacterium
Lineage: Bacteria
Description: partial 16S ribosomal RNA
Rfam family: Bacterial small subunit ribosomal RNA
Source: RNAcentral
AUUGAACGCUGGCGGAAUGCUUUACACAUGCAAGUCGAACAGCAGCACGGACUUCGGUCUGGUGGCGAGUGGCGAACGGGUGAGUAAUGUAUCGGAACGUGCCCAGUCGUGGGGGAUAACGUAGUGAAAAUUACGCUAAUACCGCAUACGAUCUAUGGAUGAAAGCGGGGGAUCGCAAGACCCCGCGCGAUUGGAGCGGCCGAUAUCAGAUUAGGUAGUUGGUGGGGUAAAGGCCCACCAAGCCAACGAUCUGUAGCUGGUCUGAGAGGACGACCAGCCAAACUGGAACUGAGACACGGUCCAAACUCCUACGGGAGGCAGCAGUGGGGAAUUUUGGACAAUGGGCGAAAGCCUGAUCCUGCCAUUCCGCGUGCAGGAUGAAGGCCCUCGGGUUGUAAACUGCUUUUGUACAGAACGAAAAGGUUUCUACUAAUACUAGGAGCUCAUGACGGUACUGUAAGAAUAAGCACCGGCUAACUACGUGCCAGCAGCCGCAGUAA